CUCUUCCCUCCACAAACCUCUUCACUGAUCAUUUUUGCUGUUUGUGUCACUUCAAGGCUACUAUGCCUUCGUUCCUAAUUCAUCUGUUCUCCGUCUUGGACUAAAUUCCCCUGACUUCAUUUUACCAAGGCUAAGACAAAUGCCUGUCAGCCAAUAGGGCUGAUUACAUGGAGCAAAAAGAGCAGAUUCCUUUUUUAUUGUACAUCAUAAUUAUGCAUAAGAGUGGAAUUCAUUAUGCCAUAUUCACAUGCACAUUAUGCAAUUUGAUCAAUCUCAUUCCCCAGUAGUUUUUCUUUCCCUUCCAUCCUGCCUCCCCCAUCUGAUUGAUUGCUCCACUCUACUGAUUGAUCUCCCUUCCAUUAAUGUUUUAAUUAUUACAUUACAAUUAUACAAGUGAGAUUCAUUGUAUCAUGUUCACACAUGGACGUAGCAUAGUUUGGGAGAUUUCAUUCCCCAGGACUUCCCUAUGACCUCCCCUCCUCCCUCCUCCAACCUCUUCCCCUAUUAGUUUCCUUCCUAUUUUCAUGAGAUCCCUUUUCAAUUCCUUUGUCUUCUUCUUCUUUUCUUCUCCCACAUGUGAAAGAAAACAUUUGACCCUUGACUGAGUCUGGCUUAUUUCACUCAGCAUGAUGUUCCAUUCAUUUACUAGCAAAUGACAUCAUUUCUUAUUUGUGGCUGAGUAAAACUCUAUUGUAUAUCUAUACACCACGUUUUCUUUCUUUUUAAAAAUAUUUUAUUUAUUUCUAUUCUUUAUUAAUCUGUUGAGGGACACCUAAGCUGGUUCCAUAACUUGACUAUUGUGAAUUGUGUUACUGUGGACACUGAGACGCAUAGAUCACUAUAGUAUGCUGAUUUUAGAUCUUUGGAAUCAAAUGAGCUGGAUGGCUGGGUCAUAUGGUAGUUUCAUGCCUCAUCUUUUGAGGAAUCUACCACUGUUUUCCAAAGUAGCUAUACUAAUUUGCAGUCCCACCAACAGUCUAUGAAUGUACCUUUUCUCCCACAUCCUCACC
This 1010-nucleotide long non-coding RNA is filed under the name Marmota monax (woodchuck). Lineage: Eukaryota; Metazoa; Chordata; Mammalia; Rodentia; Sciuridae. The record is from RNAcentral.